UAUAGUAAAUUACAGAUAUAUUCUUGCAAAGUUCAAUUUUCGUAAGUUAGUCCUGCAAAAGUCUUAAUAUAUUCAGAUAUGUUUCUUUGGUUAGGAUCCGUUAGAGAACUGUUUAUUUUUUAAUGGUAAGUUUGUGAAAUGACAAUUUUGCCAUCACAAAUAUAUUCCUCCAAAACAAUCCUCUUCCUCUUUCUCUUUCUUU
RNAcentral lists this long non-coding RNA (202 nucleotides) under Ananas comosus (pineapple). RNAcentral's name for it is "long non-coding RNA (ACOM_LNC025587)". The record is from RNAcentral. Lineage: Eukaryota; Viridiplantae; Streptophyta; Magnoliopsida; Poales; Bromeliaceae.